RNAcentral lists this unclassified non-coding RNA (430 nucleotides) under soil metagenome. RNAcentral's name for it is "partial contains 5.8S ribosomal RNA, internal transcribed spacer 2, and large subunit ribosomal RNA". The stretch from base 1 to 120 matches the Rfam family "5.8S ribosomal RNA", at positions 35 to 154 of the family's 154-position model. The record is from RNAcentral.
GAUGAAGAACGCAGCGAAAUGCGAUACGUAAUGUGAAUUGCAGAAUUCAGUGAAUCAUCGAAUCUUUGAACGCACAUUGCACUCUCUGGUAUUCCGGAGAGUAUGCUUGUUUGAGUAUCUGUAAACAUCUCAAAUCUCUCUUCAAUUGCUUCAAUUGGGUCGAGAGAAGUGGAUUUGAGCGAUCCCGACUCCUUCGUCAGAAAGAGGAGGGUCGCUUGAAAUGCAGGUGCAGCUGGACAUUCUUCUGAGCAAAAAGCAUAUCUAUUUAGUCCCGUCAAACGGAUUAUUACUUUUGCUUCAGCUAAUAUAAAGGUUGAAUGAACUACCAACGCUGAUUGCAGGAAAACAUGUUCGUUUAUUCGGACUUGUAAACUCGAUCUCAAAUCAAGUAAGACUACCCGCUGAACUUAAGCAUAUCAAUAAGCGAGGA